Oncorhynchus keta (chum salmon) is the source of this 939-nucleotide RNA transcript. It is a transcript of the gene named tuberin-like, with no coding region annotated. NCBI's taxonomy places the organism in Eukaryota, Metazoa, Chordata, Actinopteri, Salmoniformes, Salmonidae. The transcript is spliced from 4 exons. The record is from RefSeq and is a predicted model, not a curated record.
GUGUGUAGUUGUAAUGGGAGAAUGCAAUGCUGUGUGUGUAGUUGUAAUGGGAGAAUGCAAUGCUGUGUGUGUGUGUAGUUGUAAUGGGAGAAUGCAAUGGUGUGUGUGUAGUUGUAAUGAUAUCAGAGGUUAUUUAUAUUUAGAAGGUGUUUUGAUUCCAUUCACUCCGUUCCAGCCGUCAUUAUGAGCCGUCCUCCCCUCAGCAGCCUCCACUGGUGUGUGUGUCUCCCCUGUCUCUCUGACACUCUUAUCUGGCACCCCUCUCUGACACCCUUAUCUGACACCCUCUCUGUCACCCUCUCUGACACCCUUAUCUGACACCCUCUCUGACACCCCCUGGCUGUAGGAUGCACACCUCCAGCACCACGUGUAGUCUGGGUUCUUCUGACGAGAACACCGUGAGCCAGGCAGACGAUGGGUUAAAGACGGUCCACCUGGAGUUAACGGAGACCUGUCUGGACAUGAUGGCUCGAUACGUCUUCUCCAACUUCUCAGCGCUGCCCAAGAGGUCUCCUAUAGCAGAGUUCCUUCUUGCGGGGGGUCGCAGUAUGACCUGGCUGGUGGGUAACAAGCUGAUCACCAUAACGACCAGCGGUGGGGUCAGGAGCCAGGCCCUACUGGGGAUGGACAUGGCUGAGAGGCUGGGAGGAGGGGGAGAGAUGACCAGGUCAGACCCCUCCCUUCACACCCGUCAGACCAAAGAGGCUCCCGGCCAAACUGGAGUCCCAGUCCAGUCAACAGCUCAACAGAGCCUCACGCAUCAGAGUACGAUCCAUGUCAGGUAGGAAGAGGAGGAACUCUCUCUCUCUCUCACUCUCUAUCCUUCUCUCUCUCUACUGUCAUCAGAGUACGAUCCAUGUCAGGUGGCCAUGCCCUCCGUGCAGGUCCAGCCCAGAGCCUCAGCCCCCUGGUCUCACCCUCUGAGGGGAGAGCUGUGUG